CGAGAAUCUGUUCAUUUGUUAAACUAAUCCAUCCCGUCGUGGCGUCGUCCACCUGUCCGAGACACUAGUAGUACAAUACUAAUCACUUGCCCAAUGCCCCACCCCAUUCCCGUCUUACCUAGCGCUAGGGUUAGUACGCGUCCACGGCGACGACCUCUGCGCGGAGUGUGCUCCGAUUGGCUGGCCUCCUCGAUCCUCCUUCCCGCGAACGCACGCGCGCGCGAGGGAGAGGUUGAGACUUGAGAGAUAGACGAAAGACGAAACAAGGGAAGGAGACGCCGUGCUCGCCUAUUGGCCGCCGCCUCCGCUCCUUCGCGCCCAAUGGCUUCUGCAGCAUAUCAAUAUCAUGCAGCAUAGCAGUACUCAGACCCUUACUACGCAGGCGUUGUUGCUCCCUAUGGAAGUCAAGAUGUGUGUCCGAGGAGCCUGUCUAUGUGAACGCCAAGCAGUACCGCGGCAUUCUAAGACGGCGGCAGUCACGUGCCAAGGCCGAGCUUGAGAGAAAGCGCUGGUCAAAGCAAGAAAGCCGUAUCUUCACGAGUCCCCGUCAUCAGCACGCGAUGACGAGGAGGGCGAGAGGGAACGGUGGACGCUUCCUAAACACGAAGAAGAGUGACCGUGUCCCUCCUGAUGACUUGAUACAGCUACGACGACACAACGAGGCUUGAAGAGGUAGCGGUCUGGCUGGCAUCCUAGAGCAGCGGUUUCUGUCCACAGGCACGUGCAUCUGAGACCGGAUCCGUAGCUCCACUCCACAGCAUAUGCGCAGCCCAUCCAUCUCGUGCACACUUGUGUAGCUGCUGUGUUGUAACUUGUAAGUGGAAAACUGAGCUUGUGUCCGAUUGCUAUACACAACCUAAGUUUCCUGUGACCUAGCUCUGAUGUGGCUCUGAUUGAACUGCACCAAAUCAUAUGAAAUCCCUACAGAGUUCUCGUGGAAUUCAUAGGUCAACUUCUGUACCGCCGUACGUGCGUCCUUUUCGUCAGUUUCGUCGUAUUACCC
RNA transcript from Zea mays, 1003 nucleotides. RefSeq lists it as uncharacterized. Lineage: Eukaryota; Viridiplantae; Streptophyta; Magnoliopsida; Poales; Poaceae. The record is from RefSeq and is marked validated. The transcript has 4 exons.